UCUCUCUUCUCCGUUAUCUUUCUCUCUCGGCUCCAACGAAAAUAAUUUCUAGGGUUAAUGUUUUUUUAUUUUCAUUUCUAUUCACUCUCUGAUUUCGAUUGUACAUCAAUAGAUUUUAAAUUAGUAAGUUGAUUCGAAGAUUCAGGUAAGAUUCAAGUUAAUUUUAGUUCCAUUUAGUUUUGAUCUUUUUUUGUUUUUGAUUUUAUUCAGUUCUGUAAAGAAGAAGAACACCUUGAUUCUUUUUUUGAUCCAAUCAAGUGGUUUCAGAUCGGAGGAGAAAAACAACAUGAUUUUUCCGAAUCAAUCGAUGCUCGUAUUUCGAAUCCAGGUAUGAUAUUGUUGAAAGAGAGCAUUGUAUAUGGAACGUUGUAUCAAAACUCUACCAAGAAAGCAUCAGAACCUUUCCAAAAAUCAGCCUGCAAAAUUAUUUGAAUCUGUAGGGUUGUAUUAUUAUUGGAAAUGAUUGCAUGGCGUAUAAUUUGGAAAUGAAGAAGAAAUUGAGAAACAAUGGUGAAGGAAGUAGCAGAGAAUUGAGUAGAGAGUACUGAUGGAGAUGGUAUAUGCCUUACUGCAACCGUUUUUAUGCCAACAAACCUGAACUUGCUGCUCAUAUAAUCUAAGCUAUUGGUUACGAAGUUGGCCACAAAGUCUUAUAAAGGUGUUUGUGUUUGAGGCAGCUGUGAAGCAUGUGAACUGGUCUACAAACGAAUCUGUGGUGAUUUUGGUGAUGGAGGUGCAGGUUUUGGAGGAGGAUGAGAAGGUAGUGGUGAUAGCCAGCAGUGGUUCAUGUGUGUCUGUUGAAAGUACUGAGAUGCUUUCCACUUUGAACAUCCCCUGGGUUAUUCUCAACCUCUCUGAAAGAAGUGCUUUGCUAAACGAAUCAAAUGAACUUUUACAUCGAAAGCAUGCUUGUUGAAAUAGAUAUAUAUGAGUUCAAGUUCACUAUGCUCAUAUGAUUGAGUUGUGUCAACUGGAGAAGGAAUUUGCAGUCUUUGGUUGCACAAACCAUGAAGAUAUCCCAUGGGCUGAGACUGGAACUGGGUACAUUGUUGAGCCAAAAGGAAAAAGCUUCUUCUCAUUCCAAGAUAUGCAAGCAUUUUGGAGGGAGGAAAACAAGAAGGAAAGGCAAAUAUUUAAACUUCAU
Papaver somniferum (opium poppy) is the source of this 1144-nucleotide RNA transcript. RefSeq lists it as uncharacterized. Lineage: Eukaryota; Viridiplantae; Streptophyta; Magnoliopsida; Ranunculales; Papaveraceae. The record is from RefSeq and is a predicted model, not a curated record. The transcript is spliced from 8 exons.